CUAAACAAUACAAAAAUCAGGGAAUAAAAAAGCUGAGUCUCAAAAUUAUAUCAAUGAAAGGAUAAAAACUUCACCAAAGCAAAUUUACUUGGCUCCUUAUGUCGAUCAAAAUCAUUGGCAGCUCUUGGUUCUUUGUCCUACAAACAAUGUUGCAAUCUGGUUUUGUUCUUUGCAUCGUAAGCCCAAUGUACAAUUCAAAAAUUUAAUAAAAAGUGUUAUGGUUGUGUAUAAUGUUAUGAGUGAUAGAUCUACAGCACAACCAAAGAACCUAGAUUGGAUUUACCCCAUGAGUAAUAUGCAACAAGGACAUUAUGAAUGUGGAUACUACGUGAUGAAUUGGAUGUUAGACAUAAUUGAAGGGGAA
Non-coding RNA from Cajanus cajan (pigeon pea), 364 nucleotides. Lineage: Eukaryota; Viridiplantae; Streptophyta; Magnoliopsida; Fabales; Fabaceae. The record is from RefSeq and is a predicted model, not a curated record.